Molecule: RNA transcript, 6529 nt
Organism: Phyllopteryx taeniolatus (common seadragon)
Lineage: Eukaryota; Metazoa; Chordata; Actinopteri; Syngnathiformes; Syngnathidae
Gene: reep2
Gene name: receptor accessory protein 2
Exons: 11
Source: RefSeq, a predicted model, not a curated record
ACAACUGUGAUGCAGUGCUCCUACCCAGCCCACGUAGAAAGAAACCCUUCAAACUGUCAUUCAUUUCUGAAUUACACUAAAAUGACGUCGCUCAAUUUAACCGCUAAUUAAUGAACACGACGCGUUGAAAGCUAGCAGUCGCUGGUAGCUAACAGCUAGUCAGUCAUGUUACCAACUGACAGCUUUGGUUGGAGUUGUGAGCACUUUAGCAUCUGAUUUGGCCCCGAAAACAGUUUAAUAUGGGACGACUCGCUCCAAACUUAUUGCUCACUCAGGAAGGAUGGAUUUUGGUUCAUAUGUAACGCUCUCAUCGCCACGUGGUCACAUUAGUUUGUCGAAGGCGAAACGGAUGCCCCUCUUGUCAGGACUGCAGCAGAAGCAUGUUUUAACACACGGAACACGACAAUGUGAUGGAAGGACGUUCAAGGCUGACUCAAGCAUUUAGGCAGGCCUCUUAAUGGACAAGGAAUGACUCGACUAAAGUCAGCAGAUGCCACUGACUCACUAUACUGCUCCAUUGCUCCUCACAGCGUUAUGUAGCCAAAUAAAGAGCUGCAAAUGGUUACCGUCUGACAGCAUCCAUCUGGCCCUUCCGCAUUGCUGCACCAGAGGUGGAAGGCCUCAAGAUGGAACACAUUGUAAUGAUGGAGAGCCUGGCCUUUGGGACGCUCUAUCCAGCGUAUGCGUCAUACAAGGCUGUCAAAACGAAGAAUGUGAAGGAAUAUGUGAAGUGGAUGAUGUACUGGAUAGUAUUUGCCUUGUUCUCUACGGCAGAGACGGCCACAGACUUGUUCCUAUCCUGGUUUCCUUUUUACUUUGAGUUGAAGAUUGCCUUUGUGAUCUGGCUCUUGUCCCCAUACACCAAGGGCUCCAGUGUUCUCUAUCGCAAGUUUGUCCACCCAACCUUGUCCAACAAGGAAAAGGAGAUUGACGAUUAUAUUGCACAGGCCAAAGACAGGAGUUAUGAAACCAUGAUGAGAUUUGGAAAGAGGGGUCUCAACUUGGCUGCUAAUGCUGCAGUAACUGCAGCCACCAAGGGCCAGGGUGUGUUGUCAGACAAGUUGCGCAGUUUUAGCAUGCAGGACCUGACACUCAUCAACACCGAGGAUGAGCUGUCUCUGCACUCUUCAGACGGUCGCAUGAGACGAGACUCUGUGGACGACAUGAGCUCGGGGGCCAGCACGCUUCCCCGGGCCAAGAGCGCCGCUACACGACAGACUCGCUCUAUGGCUCACACGUCCCUUGCAGAUGAGAUAUCAUCCCAACACAGCUCAGACCAAUCAGAUGCAAGAACUGAACACUCUGAUGAGGAUGCAGGAGAAAAGCCCCCCAAGCGGCCCACCACCACCAAGACAACCAAGAAACCUGCUGCAAAGACAGAGAUUGCGCUCAAGUUGUUGGUGUCUGCUGUCUCCUGUUUGUGGCACCAAAGGGGACAGAUGGAGAAAUCCCUUUCUCAUCGCCCACUCCUGCUUCAGCUUUCAUCUCCUGGGGGGACUUUCAUCUCCCUCAGCACAGAGUGCAGUGGCACAAACAACAGUAAUGUGGUGAGAGUGGAAGACCAAACUAAUGAACGAAAGAGUGGAGCACAGUUUGAACUGAGACCGAAGGCAUCAAGCGGAGGCUUUCGAGGUGAGCUUUCACUCCACGAGGUAAUUUUGUUAUGUUUGAGCCACUGUUUGAUUGCGUAUAUGACAGAUGUAUAGGUUUUUAAAAGUACAGUUACUGGGAGCGUGUGGAUGCCUCUUCGGUGACUUUUCAGAUGUAUUGUUGAGUAUAUGUCCAUUAAAAUUAACCAUUUUCUUUCCGUCCUCACAAUGCCAUACAAUCCUUUCCAUAGAAAAUCACCGCAAAAAGCACAUGUAUGAAAUUAUUUGAGAAAGCUAUAUAUCACUAAAAUUAUUGUUAGAUUUAGUGUUGUAAACAAAACAUGGCAUCUCAAUUGUUUUUUAAAACAUUCUUGUAUGAAUUUCAAAUUUUUGUUCACAAAAAUGUUUGCAAAUUUGAGUUGUACUUAUUUAUUUUAUCUAAAAACCUUGAUCUGCAAUAGGUGAACUGAGAUAGCGCGAGGGAUUACUGUACAUGCAAGUAUUUAGAGUUGCCCGCCUUCAGUGUCGUACCACAUCGUAACAUGCUACGCAGCACUAAUGUCUACUGGAAGAGAUGGACUGUAACUAAGAGCAAGAAGAAGAAACAGAGAAGGUCCCCAAACCUCAAGCUCCAGUAAUAGUCGUUCAAACUGAGCAGAGGAAGAACUGUAUAUGCCUGUGAGUAUUGGUGCACGCUCUUUUUGCAUGUGUUGGUUUAUAAAUACUGGAACGUCCGUGCUGUUUUUUCUGUUAGCUGUCUCUGGCAUUUCGCAUUACUUUGAUUUACAAGUUUAAUUUAUUCCGUGACCACGCUCAUAACUCAAACCACCUGUAUCUCAAAUCAUAUUUCACCACUGAAAUGAACAGAAGUGCCAUUAAUCUGUUCCAGUCCUCUUGCUCCAUCUGGUGUGUGCGCCUUGGCCACCAAGGGGAAGAUUAAUACGGGCAUAGAGAUACACAAGGAGAAGAGUUUUACAACUGACUCAGGAAGCUGCAAUAAUAGUAAUAUUAUUACAAUUUACAUACAUACAGCACCUUCAAAGAGGCCCCCCUCCAAAUAUAAUUAGUCAGGGGGUAUGAACGGAGUUUUGUGUUCAAAUAGCAGUUCCUUAGAUGGUUUUAACACCAUGAAUAUCUAUUCAAAGCCUGUCUGUGGCAUUAUACAUAGCGUGUUAGCAUUAAGUAAGCAGAAAUUCCUAAGGUAAAGUUAUGCAGUUAUUUUAAAUAUGAAUUAUUAUUAAUAUUAUUAAUAAUUCUGUUUAGUUUGACAGUAAACUCCAACUGGUCGUGGCAGUAAACAACUUGAAGCUUUGUUUUUAAAGAAUUGUUCACUAUCUGCCAAUCUGCUGAAGUAAAUUGAAUUUGCUGCACUAUCUAGUGCUCUUACUUUGUCUCAAAUUUUUGCUUGUAAGUCAAAACCAAAAAAGCAGUUGAGUGACAGCUUGCAGUGUUGAGAAUUUUUUCUCAGCGAACUAGUUCAAAGUUCAAUUCACCGUUCCAAAAAUUAACCACUUCAGUUCGUAGUUCAUAAUUCAAAUUUUUUAAUUAAGUUCACCAUUCCAAAAAUGAACUAGUUCAUAGUUCUUUUUUGUUUUUUCUCUCAAUAUGUUGCUGCUGCUUGUCCCCUUAAAACACUGGCAUUUCAUUUACCCAUUGUUGCCUCCUAUUCAGAAUUGUGAGUAGCCAAUUCAAGAUCAACGAAUCCAUGGUUCGCAAGUGGAGGAAGCAGGAAAACGCCGGCAUCAUUGCUGAACAGCCCCCCCCCCGGCAACGAGACUGACUCCGACAAUGACGAGAGGGAACCCAGCAUGUUUGAUGGAGAACUUGCCCAGCUGUUCAUUUCGGAUACAGAAGAUGAGGACUUUGAUGGAUUUGUGGAUGAGGAUUGAUCAACAAAUAACACAAUGGAGCGGAGUUGUGGUGCGGCAGACACAACCUGGAGCUGAGCACGCUCAAGACUGUAGAGAUGAUUUUGGACUUCAGGAGGCAUCCUUCGCCACAGCUGCCCCUCACGCUGUCCAACUGCCCUGUGCCAACUGUUGAGAUCUUCAAGGUCCUGGGAAUUUCAGUCUCUCACGACCUGAAGUGGGAGAUCAACAUCAACUCCAUCCUCAAUAAGGCCCAGAAGAGGACGUACUUCCUUUAAAAAAAAAAAAAAAAAAAAAAAAAAAAAACAGAACUAGUGUGGCAGAGACAGCGAGCGAACGAGACGUGUCUGAUACUUUUGUCUUGAUUACACUUCAUAUAAGCAUAUAAUAUCGUUACAGUUUCUUCUAUUAUGUUUUUUUGGGACUAUAUUUUACCAUUUAUUGCUGCCUGCACUAAAAAACGUUUAAAAAAAUUCGGGAACGGAUAAUUGCAUUUCCAUUCAUUUUAAUGAGGAAAUGUUUUGAGAUACGAGUGUUCGAGAUAAGAGCACGGUGAUGAAGCGAAUUAAACUCGUAUCUCAAGGCACCACUGUAUUUAUUUUUAUAAGGCAUAAUAUGGCAGAUAGGGAGGGAGCGCUUCCGAACUGGGAUAUCUGCUGCCGUCAGCCACUAGGUGGCAUAUUUACACAAUAUCUGGGGAUUUCUGUGAUUAUAUUGCACGCAGUAAGACCAUUUCUUCAUUUCGAUUCUUAAAGGAAUUUGAUACACACUGAGAUCUUCACUUGCUGUUUUAAACCAACAAUACAGAGGUAAAAAAAAGAACCAUAUUACGACUUUUUAGCCUUACCGACGUCCCCUGGCCUUCGCUGGGCACUCACAGUUACUCAGUGCAGGACUCUGGUCCAUUAGGCAGCAUCUCACUCCAAGCGUGACCGAUUCUUCUUCUCUCACACACUCGCUGCUCUCUGGCGAAGUCAGCGGACAGACGAGCCGAGGAAUUAUUUCCUUACGCUUCUGUCGUUUAAAUCAGGUUGGAUGAGUGUCACUGCCCGACACCCCUAACCCCCCCCAACCCUGAAAUCUGAUUCUGUCCACUCAUGCCCUUAUCGUCUCAAUUGUCCUCUGGCUCCAAAUCUUCCCCCAAACCGUGUCACUAUGCUUUCAUCGUACUUUUCUUAUGAUUGAAUUAAGCCCUCUGGUGUGGCUCACCGUUAGACUCUCGAUCUCCCCUCAGUGAUGCUCAGGCCACUCUCUCAGCUAUUACACUCGGUGCUCACUCGCCCCGUCAGCCUGGAUCACAAUAGAAAAAGACAAUCUCCUUCCUCAUGGCAACAUACAUAAUAUGUGUGUUUGUACUGUGAUGGAGCGACAUUUGGCUCCUGGGGCUUUUUCGCUAUUAUCUGAGAUGCUGAUUGGCCUUAAGUUUGUUGGGAUUUGUUGAGAGAAUUCUUCCCAUAGGAAAUAAUGUAAAUAGUAAUAAUUGGUUCCAAAUGUAUUUAACAACUGUGCAGGAAAUGGGUUAACCCUCCUCUUACCUUCAAGGCGUUGUCACACCUCACUUGUGCAACUGUGAAAACGCCACAGGGCAGCGCGCAAGGAUGACAGCACCCCUGUGCAUCCUUGGCCAUAUUUGGAAGUGCUGACGAAGCAGCCUACCAGGAAGUAACAGGGAGGCUUUUCCCGCUAAUAGACGAGAAGUAGACCACACCUCGGCAAUAUGUACCGUAUUUUCACAUCUAAAAGGCGCACUUAAAGUCUUACAUUUUCUCCAAAAUGGACGGGGCACCUGAUAAUGCGGUGCGCCUUAUGUGUGACUUUGAUGAGCGCUCCGCUUGACUGACUGGGAGCAUUUCUUGCCGACAUGCUGCUUAUAUAGAGGAAAGGCGAACGUGACUGAGGACAGCAUGCGGACGUAAAGGGGGAAGGGUGCGCGUCAAGGAGGACGCUAAAGGCACGCCCCCAGUUGGUAUAUAGCGCCGGGGUGGGCAUUGUGCAAAACAAUAUCAGUUUGGCUAAGGACCCCCGAAAAUGGCACCUAUGAAGAGACGCACUUACGAAGCACAGUUUAAACUGCAAGCUAUCAGUUACGCGGAGGAACAUUGGAAUCGAGCAGCCGCAUGAGAAUUCAAGAUCAACGAAUCCAGGGUUCGCAAGUGGAGGAAGCAGGAAAACGAGCUUCGCCAAGUCAAGAAGACGAAGCGCUGGGCAUAUGUGAAUGGAUUGUGGAUGCCUGGGCUAAGGUAUCUGCUUUGACUGUUGUCCGAGCUUUCGCGAAAGCUGAACAGCCCCCCGGCAACGAGACUGACUCCGACAAUGACGAGAGGAAACCCGGCGUGUUUGAUGGAGAACUUGCCCAGCUGUUCAUUUCGGAUACAGAAGAUGAGGACUUUGAUGGAUUUGUGGAUGAGGAUUGAUCAAAAAUAACGUGAGCACAUUGUUAAAUACUUGAAUAAAGUACAACCGAACUCAGUUUUGUUCCCGCUGCCUUUUUAAAAACAUAUGCUACCGUAUGUUUUACCAUGCCUGCGCCCAAUAAUACGGUCCGGUGCGCCUUAUGUAUGUGUUAAAUACAGAAAUAGACCCCGUAACUGAGACUGCGCCUUUUAAUAUGGUGCACCUUAUGGUCGUGAAAAUACGGUAUAUUUAACUCAGGUGCUGUACAUUUCUUCUGAUGAUCCUUGAGAUGGUACUAAACCAAAAUCUCUGCUGGAUUUAAGGUUCCUAAAAGCACAGUGGCCUCCAUAAUCCUGAAAUGGUAGACAUUUGGGACGACCGGAACCCUUCCUAGAGCUGGCCAUCCGGCCAAACUGAGCAAUCCCCACUGUAAAUGAUGUGAGGCUGUGGAUUCUCACUGCAGAUGCAAUUGCGUAGAAUACCUUUCUAUUAACAAAAAAAAUAAUAAUCCAGGUUGAUACAUCAAAAACUUUAUAAAAAAAACCCCAAAACAAAUAAACCCACGCUGAAAACAUAGGUAGAGGUAAUUAUUCUCUUCAUUUCCUUCCAAGAAGUUUGUGCUUUUUGAAACAUGAAAGUUCCAAAACACAAAAUAAACUCAAUAAAAAAUAAAAUCUC